Triticum aestivum (bread wheat) is the source of this 1454-nucleotide long non-coding RNA. RefSeq lists it as uncharacterized. The transcript has 3 exons. NCBI's taxonomy places the organism in Eukaryota, Viridiplantae, Streptophyta, Magnoliopsida, Poales, Poaceae. The record is from RefSeq and is a predicted model, not a curated record.
UCCCCUCCUCUGCCUCCGCCUCCGUCGCCGCCCCUCUCACACAAUUAUCCAUUAUCUCUAGCAAUUCUAGUCCUCCGUAUGGUCUCUACUUGUUUGUUGACACCAUACCUUCCCACCAUUAGGCACCAUACCUAUGGCCAGGAGCUCGCCUUGCCAUCUGACCUCCUCCCACCGCUCAUUCUCAAUUUGUUGCCAACUGAAAGCCUUGAUCCUUUCCUCCUAGUUUUAGCUUUGAGAUCGCAAGAAGCUACGGCAAAAGCCACCAGAUCUAGAUAGAUCGGAAUACCCUCAACACACGCCGCUUCUCGCCGUCGCUUCUCUCCAGAUCUAUGGUGGGCCUUGACGGAUGCCCGUGGUGUAGAUCUCACGGCAAAGCUGGAUCACGACGCUUGACCAGAUUUCCCCCAAUCCGGGAGAGAAGGCACAGCAUAUAAGGAGGUGAUUUCAGGCUACCAGAUCUAUAGAUGACAACACCCUCGGCUCUCAUUGUAUGCACAUCUCUAUUAUUGUACAAUCAUUGCUCACUAGAGCUACGGCGGGACUUAAGUAAAUCUCCAUAGCAUAAACCUAAUGACAAGAAUGGAUCAUGAUGCCCAACUAGAUCGACUCAAUACCGCAAGGUCAAGCAUGACACAUGAGGAGCAAUCGGGGCUACAGCACCUUCAUCCAUUUUAUGGAACCGUGAUUCCAAGAUGAGGCAAGUCUUGUGUUAGCUUUGUGAGAUGAACAUCCUUCUAAAUAUUUAUCUUAACGUGUCCGAUUGCUUGAUAUCGAAUAAGUCACUCUCUUAGAGAUUAGCCACUCUGAUUUAGUUAACAAAAGGGCAUUAUGAUUUUUCAAAUGAUUUCCUAUGGAGAUUAUGUGACUUGUGGGGAGAUGAUUAAGGUAGACCAUGCCUCAUUUAUACCCUACUAGUGUCUUGUGAUGUGUGAAGUUACUUUGGGCACCCUCCUCACAAAAAAAACUUUUUAAUACCUGGUGGAAUGUUUAAAUUAAUAGUGAGAAAUUGAUGUGAAUAACAUAUAUACUCCUUUGUUAGCGUACCAUCUGAUCCUAGCUAGUUCAGUCAAAUGAACUAAAUAAUUGCAUGCCUAUUCGUAGAUACAUGUCGUUUUGGACAUUGACUUUGUCUCUACAUGCACCUUUGAAUGUUACGUUAUACAUGAAUAUACUAGUAAAAUAAUAUUUGAAUUAUGUUAGGGGGGUAUUUUUCAUGUCAAUAAAUUGCUAGCUAAGGUAGUUAUCUUUUUUCUUUUGCUAAACCAAUCGGUUGUGUGUUCCCAAACAUCAACUCACUUCAUGGUGUUGUUAUUUAUGAGAACAGAUACAAGAACAUCAAAGAAACUAAAAGAAAAGAAACAUAAUAAAAAUAAUAUAAGUUGGGUUCGGGAACACAACCAAUUUUUUUCACAAACGAUAGCUAACCAUCUGAGGUGGCAAUGUUUUCAAUGAAU